Molecule: ribosomal RNA, 1049 nt
Filed under: uncultured bacterium
Lineage: Bacteria
Description: bacterial SSU rRNA
Rfam family: Bacterial small subunit ribosomal RNA
Source: RNAcentral
UCCAUGGUUAAUCCAUGGAGCGAUGACAUAGCUGCAGAAUUAAGCCCCGGCUACUUCUGUGCCAGCAGCGGCGGUAUAACAAGAGGGUGCAAGCGUAUCGGAAUUACUGGGCGUAAAGCGAGCGUAGGUGGCUUGAUAGUCAGAUGUGAAAGCCCCGGGCUAACCUGGGAACGGCAUCUGAUACUGUAGGCUAGAGUAGUGAGAGGAAGGUAGAAUACAGGUGUAGCGGUGAAAUGCGUAGAGAUCUGGAGGAAUACCGAUGGCGAAGGCAGCGUUCUGGCAUCAUACUGACACUGAGGUUCGAAAGCGUGGGUAGCAAACAGGAUUAGAUACCCUGGUAGUCCACGCCGUAAACGAUGUCUACUAGUCGUUGGGUCCCUUGAGGACUUAGUGACGCAGCUAACGCAAUAAGUAGACCGCCUGGGGAGUACGGCCGCAAGGUUAAAACUCAAAUGAGUUGACGGGGGCCCGCACAAGCGGUGGAGCAUGUGGUUUAAUUCGAUGCAACGCGAAGAACCUUACCUGGUCUUGACAUAUCUAGAAUCCUGCAGAGAUGCGGGAGUGCCUUCGGGAAUUAGAAUACAGGUGCUGCAUGGCUGUCGUCAGCUCGUGUCGUGAGAUGUUGGGUUAAGUCCCGCAACGAGCGCAACCCUUGUCCUUAGUUACCAGCGGUUUGGCCGGGAACUCUAAGGAUACUGCCAGUGACAAACUGGAGGAAGGCGGGGACGACGUCAAGUCAUCAUGGCCCUUACGACCAGGGCUACACACGUGCUACAAUGGUAGGUACAGAGGGCAGCUACACAGCGAUGUGAUGCGAAUCUCAAAAAGCCUAUCGUAGUCCAGAUUGGAGUCUGCAACUCGACUCCAUGAAGUAGGAAUCGCUAGUAAUCGCGGAUCAGAAUGCCGCGGUGAAUACGUUCCCGGGCCUUGUACACACCGCCCGUCACACCAUGGGAGUUGAUUGCACCAGAAGUGGUUAGCCUAACCUUUUAGGAAGGCGAUCACCACGGUGUGGUUGAUGACUGGGGUGAAGUCGUAACAAGGUAACC